AAAACAUAGCCCUAAGAAUUGAUUUAGGGUACAACCUGCCCAAUGAGAUAUUGAAUGGCCGCGGUACUUUGACCGUGCUAAGGUAGCAUAAUCAAUUGACUUUUAAAUGAAGUCUGGAAUGAAUGGGAAAACGGAAUUUAGCUGUCUCACGACUCUUUAAUUUGAAGUUACUAACUAGGUGAAAAGGCCUAGAAAAGAUAAAGGACGAGAAGACCCUAAGAGUUUUUUAUAUAUAUUUUGUUGGGGCAACAAAAGGUCAUAUUAAAUACCUUAUAUAAAUAAGACGGGUUUAUCAUGUUCAGAUAAACUACCUUAGGGAUAACAGCAUAAUUUUCUUUGAGUUUGUGACCUCGAUGUUGGACUAGGAAGCCUUUAGGCUAGCUGCCUAAACAGGGGAUUCUGUUCGAAUUUUUACUCCUACGUGAUCU
Molecule: ribosomal RNA, 428 nt
Filed under: Bullacta caurina
Lineage: Eukaryota; Metazoa; Mollusca; Gastropoda; Cephalaspidea; Haminoeidae
Description: partial 16S ribosomal RNA
Rfam family: Archaeal large subunit ribosomal RNA
Source: RNAcentral